Molecule: non-coding RNA, 24 nt
Filed under: Arabidopsis thaliana (thale cress)
Lineage: Eukaryota; Viridiplantae; Streptophyta; Magnoliopsida; Brassicales; Brassicaceae
Source: RNAcentral
AAGUCCUCGUGUUGCAUCCCUCUU